GCAUAGAGAGCUUGCUCUCUGAUGGCGAGUGGCGAACGGGUGAGUAAUAUAUCGGAACGUGCCUAGUAAUGGGGAAUAACUAGCUGAAAGGUUAGCUAAUGCCGCAUACGACCUACGGGUGAAAGCAGGGGAUCUUCGGACCUUGCGUUAUUAGAGCGGCCGAUAUCUGAUUAGCUUGUUGGUGGGGUAAUGGCCUACCAAGGCGACGAUCAGUAGCUGGUCUGAGAGGACGAUCAGCCACACUGGAACUGAGACACGGUCCAGACUCCUACGGGAGGCAGCAGUGGGGAAUUUUGGACAAUGGGGGCAACCCUGAUCCAGCCAUUCCGCGUGAGUGAAGAAGGCCUUCGGGUUGUAAAGCUCUUUCGCAAGAGAAGAAAACUUACUAUCUAAUAAAUAGUAAGUAUGACGGUAUCUUGACAAGAAGCAC
This 430-nucleotide ribosomal RNA is filed under the name uncultured Methylophilus sp. Its description in RNAcentral is "bacterial SSU rRNA". It matches the Rfam family "Bacterial small subunit ribosomal RNA", at positions 69 to 493 of the family's 1533-position model. The record is from RNAcentral. Lineage: Bacteria; Pseudomonadati; Pseudomonadota; Betaproteobacteria; Nitrosomonadales; Methylophilaceae.